UCAGUGCGCCCCGAGCAGCCAGAGCGCACGGUUACAAUGAUCUUCUCCAUCGGUCCGACUGAGAGCCAGCGUCAGUACCGAGCUCCGAGCAGCAGACACACCGUCACACACCCUGACCGACACCAGCUCCGCCCGCAGCAGGAUGCCCGGGGGAAAGAGAGGGCUUGUGGCACCGCAGAACACUUUUCUGGAGAACAUCGUCCGGCGUUCAAGUGAGACCAGCUUCCUCCUGGGAAACGCCCAGAUUGUGGAGUGGCCUGUAGUUUACAGCAAUGACGGAUUCUGCAAGCUGUCUGGCUUCCACAGGGCUGAGGUCAUGCAGAAGAGCAGCACAUGCAGUUUUAUGUACGGAGAGCUGACGGACAAGAAGAGCAUCGACCAAGUCAGACAGACGUUCGACAACUAUGAGUCCAACUGCUUUGAAAUCCUGCUAUACAGAAAGAACAGAAGUCCAGUGUGGUUCUACAUGCAAGUGGCUCCCAUCAGGAACGAGAACGACAAGGUGGUUCUGUUCCUCUGCACUUUUAAGGACAUCACUCUCUUCAAGCAGCCUAUCGAAGACGAAACCACUAAAGGAUGGACCAAGUUUGCACGGCUGACUCGGGCGCUCACCAACAACCGCAACACGCUGCCGAAGCUGGCACCCAUAGAACAUGAAGUCAGCCAUAAACAGUCCAGACUGGCCGAGGUUUUGCAGCUGAACUCGGACAUCCUCCCGCAGUACAAGCAGGAGGCCCCCAAGACGCCUCCCCACAUCAUCCUUCACUACUGCACCUUCAAGACCACCUGGGACUGGGUCAUCCUCAUCCUCACCUUCUACACAGCCAUCAUGGUGCCCUACAACGUCUCCUUCAAGACCAAGCAGAACAACAUUGUGUGGCUGGUGCUGGACAGCGUGGUGGACGUCAUCUUUCUGGUGGACAUUGUCCUCAACUUCCACACCACCUUCGUGGGGCCCGGCGGCGAGGUCAUCUCCGACCCUAAGCUCAUCCGCAUGAACUACCUGAAGACGUGGUUCGUCAUCGACCUGCUGUCCUGCCUGCCCUAUGACAUCAUCAAUGCCUUCGAGAACGUCGACGAGGGCAUCAGCAGUCUGUUCAGCUCCCUGAAGGUGGUCCGCCUGCUGCGUCUGGGCCGGGUGGCCCGGAAACUGGACCACUACCUGGAGUACGGAGCUGCCGUUCUGGUGCUGCUGGUCUGUGUGUUCGGACUGGUGGCUCACUGGCUUGCCUGCAUCUGGUACAGCAUCGGAGACUACGAGGUCAUCGACGAGGCCACCAACACCAUCAAGGUGGACAGCUGGCUCUACCAGCUGGCUCUCAGCAUCGGAUCGCCCUACCGCUACAACACCAGCGGCUCCGGCCAAUGGGAGGGCGGCCCUGGCAAGGACUCUCUGUACAUCACCUCUCUGUACUUCACCAUGACCAGCCUGACCACCAUCGGCUUCGGCAACAUCGCCCCGACCAGCGACGGCGAGAAGAUCUUCUCUGUGGCCAUGAUGAUGGUGGGAUCUCUGCUCUAUGCCACCAUCUUUGGAAACGUGACCACCAUCUUCCAGCAGAUGUACGCCAACACCAACCGCUACCACGAGAUGCUCAACAACGUCCGGGACUUCCUGAAGCUCUACCAGGUUCCCAAGGGGCUGAGCGAGCGUGUGAUGGACUACAUUGUCUCUACCUGGUCCAUGUCCAAAGGCAUCGACACGGAGAAGGUCUUAUCCAUCUGUCCCAAGGACAUGCGGGCCGACAUCUGUGUCCACCUCAACAGGAAGGUGUUUAAUGAACACCCAGCGUUCCGGUUAGCCAGCGACGGCUGCCUGCGCUCACUGGCCGUGGAGUUUCAGACCACCCACUGCGCCCCCGGAGACCUGAUCUACCACGCCGGCGAGAGCGUUGACACCCUGUGCUUCGUUGUGUCGGGGUCACUGGAGGUCAUCCAGGACGACGAGGUCAUCGCCAUCUUAGGUAAAGGCGAUGUGUUUGGUGACGUCUUUUGGAAGGAAACCACCCUGGCGCAUGCGUGCGCCAACGUCAGAGCGCUAACGUACUGCGACCUCCACGUCAUCAAGAGGGAAGCCUUGCUCAAGGUGCUGGAGUUUUACACGGCCUUCGCCAACUCCUUCUCCCGCAACCUCAUCCUCACCUGCAACCUGCGCAAGCGGAUAAUUUUCCGCAAGAUCAGUGAGGUGAAGAAGGAGGAAGAGGAGCGCCAGCGAGCGAAGAACGAGGUGCAGCUCACCAUCCCGCAGGACCAUCCCGUCCGCAAGCUCUUCCAGAAGUUCAAGCAGCAGAAGGAGCUCCGCAACCAGGGAGCGGCCGCCGCCCCACACCUGGACCUGGAGAAGAACCAGCUGCAGGUGGAGCAGCACCUGCACCCCCACAGCCUGCAGCUGGGCCACUCCAGCCUGCAGCACUCGCUGCCGCUCAGCCUGCAGCGCCCGCCCUCCUCCAUGCAGAACGGGGCUCCACCCAGCAGCAGCGUGCUGACCGUGUCCCAGGUCACGCCCAUGCAGAGCUCGCUGCCAUACAGCCAUCCUGGCGAGCCUCCCACCAAGCAGAACAACUGCGAUAUCAUAGAGCUGCAGCCCAGUUCGGCUGGAAGCAUAGCUGAGCAGACUGUCAGACUCAAAGUCAGCACCAGCCCUGUGCCGGCCAAGCCGGCCGUCAAGGCCAGCGGCUGGAUGCGCCUGAGAAACAACACGGCUCCAGUGGAGGCCAGGAAGGACGGAUUGAACAACAACGUCAAGGCUGUUUCCGUGGAGAUGCUCUCACAGGAGGGUAAAGGUCAGGACGCAGGAGGGGCUGGCGAUAGAGAGGAGGGUGGGGUGUCCAGCAACAAUCCCCUCCGCAAGACGGACUCCUGCGACAGCGGCAUCACCAAGAGCGAGCUGCGGAUAGACCGGGCGGGGGAGGCACGGACCCCCGCUGCGGUCACCCCCCUCCUCCACAGCCCUCUCCCUGGAGGAGCGAGGUCCCCUCACCCUUUCUGCCCCAUCCCAGAGCAGGCCCUGCAGGCCGCGCUGCACGAGACCCGGCUGGAGCUCCGGAGGGACAUACAGACCCUGGGAGGCCGCCUGGGCUCCCUGGAGAGUCAGGUAGCGGAAAUUAUCAAACUGCUCUCAGACAAGAAGCGGCCGCCCACGGGGUUGUUGUCUGCCUCCACCACACCCAAAACCAAAAUACAACGUCAGGACAUUUUCACCGUUUCUAGGCCUGUUUCUCCAGACUCAGAGAAGGACGAAGGGCUCUGAAGAGAGCUUGACCAGGGGGGUAGAGAGUGUACUGGAACAUAGAGCAAUCACAUGGCACAUUGUUCUACUAUGAUCACCAUUAUCAGUUUAAGGUUAUGCUCUGUUGGAUCCAGUUACGCCACUGGUCUUAAUUCUGGCUUCUUUAACAUUUGCACACUGACUUCUAUUUCCAGGUCACGUAAGAGUCCACACUCCACAGGGACCUGGACCCGGUUUUUGUGAUUGUACAUACCUCUCUAUGCAUGUCCAGCUGGAUUCUGGCCUGCCAAAGAAACAACUAGUGAACGUACUUAUUGCCUGUAUAUUAUGCAGUUGACUGCAUGCAAAUUGAAUUUAAAGAGAACUGACAUUUUAUUGAGCUACACUGUACAUAUGAAUAUUUUUCAUUGAUAAUUUACUAUGUGGACAUUCAGGGUUUGCAUACUGGUAGCACUAUAAACAUUGAUAACAAAAGGGUUUACUGGCAAAGGGAUUGUGCAUGGAUUAUUUAAAAAUAGAGAAAUAGAAAGGGAUGGAGGUGUCUUUUUUUUCUUUGCCUGUGAGAUGAAAUAGAAGUGAUUCUGCUCUCACCUCGCCCUCUAAGAACACAGAUUCCCAAAUGUGAUGAGGAAGCAUCCUUUUAACACAUGAAGGGAAUUUUCUCAUAUGUUUUUAUAUUUAUUAUCUAUCUGCUUCUUAUAAUAAUUUCUAUUUUUGAUUACAGAAACGCCCUUGGCCUCAGUUUGAUGUCGGGUUAACCCUUAAAUGGUUAUUUUGUCAGAAUCCGCCUUGUGUCUAUGCAUCGCUCGGGUAUGCCGCUAGAAUAUUCUGAUUAUUCCUUUGUUAACAUGUCGGUGAAUGAAGGAAGUUUUUUUUGUUCCAUUCCUCUGCAUGAAUCAGGGAUGGCAGAAUGCACUUUGGGUAAAGCUGGAACGACAAGAAGGCUUUAAGGAAAUAACACAGAGUUUAGUUCACAUAAAAGUCCACUCAGCACAGUGACAUGUAAUCCCUCAGCCCCAGCACCACACACGGUAGUCUUAACCAGCGAGCGUCGCUCUGAAGCCUGCUCUGAAUUUCAUUAAGGACACAGCAGCUUCGCCGCAAAAAGCUCAAGUAAUAAAAAAUGGAAUACUGUACUUUUUAUGAUAUCAGUUUUCUAAAUCUGCAUGCAAAGGAGUAGUUUUAUGCUCCAGAGUGCGUACGUAUAUAUAAAUGUGUGUGUGCAAGAGCUGAAACACACACACACACACACACACACACACACACACACACACACACACACACACACACACACACACACACACACACAGACAUGCACAGUGUGGCGGCAUCUCUUGAGUGAACACCCCAGGGAGACUUUUUCUUCACAGAAGGCAGAUCAGUCGGCUUUGUCAGAAGUCUAGUUUUUCAGGUCUGGUGAGAUUUAGACGCGGUCCCCCCAAAACCGCCCCCAAACCCUGCAGUGCAGCAAGCACAUAUCUCUCACACACACACAAUUAUAUUUAAUAAGGAAGAAGAUACAUGUACGGUAGCCAUCAUGGAAGCCUCAAAUAGUUUUAAAUGACUAGAUUCAUGUCAUUCCUGCUUUAUUAUCUGCAGUGUGAGGAAAUGGACGGGUGGCAAAAAACAGGCUGAUGUUAACUGGAGGUGUCAGGCCAGUAACCCCCAACACAUCUUCUGUUGCCAGUAUUGGGGGUCAUUAGCUCUCGGUUAAAUUAACAGCUGGUUGGAUUUCUUUUCAUCCCUUUAUUAGACAGUUAACAGUAGAGAUAUAACAGGAAAUGAGGAGAGAGAAACAAUGGGCAAUGACAAAAUGCUAAAAAAAGCUCCCCUAAAGCUAAGCAUGUUGCAGUUCACGGUCAGCACCUUAAACCUCCAGGCCACCAGGGCGCUAGCUCGUUGGAGUGCCACCCGCAUAGAUGUCUUUACAGAAAGCGGUGAUGCAAAUCUGAAAGAAAUAAUAUAUUUUUGCAUGCCUAUCAGUCUAAUGCCAGGCCCAGAGGACUCGAAAUCCGACAGACACAGGGUGUCAGAAAAGAACAUUGGUAGAUUGUGUUCCCUGAUAGAAUGACGAGCAUAUCAGAAUUAAUUUGCCCUCUUCAAUUAGUUUCACAGCAUCUGCGAUGUCCUGCAUGACAAUUUGGAUGCCAGGGGUGUUGACAUUUCUGAUCCAGGAAGCCUAUAGGCCGAGAUAUGCU
Sander lucioperca (pikeperch) is the source of this 5427-nucleotide RNA transcript. It is a transcript of the gene named potassium voltage-gated channel, subfamily H (eag-related), member 5b, with no coding region annotated. The record is from RefSeq and is a predicted model, not a curated record. The transcript has 14 exons. Lineage: Eukaryota; Metazoa; Chordata; Actinopteri; Perciformes; Percidae.